Molecule: RNA transcript, 1734 nt
Organism: Sapajus apella (tufted capuchin)
Lineage: Eukaryota; Metazoa; Chordata; Mammalia; Primates; Cebidae
Gene: YEATS4
Gene name: YEATS domain containing 4
Exons: 8
Source: RefSeq, a predicted model, not a curated record
AGCCCGUUGCGCCUGCGCACGGCGCUGCCGUCGCCCCUCCUUCCGUUGCGCUCUCCACCUGCGCGGAGUUGAAAGGCCUUCAGGAAAGCCGUCAGCCAGGGCAGUUGACGGUUACUCAGCGCCACGAGCCCUACUAACUCCUCCUCGCUCGGCGAGAAACUCUCCGCCUGGGCCCGCGUGAGAGGAGCGCAGCCUCUGAGGGGAGCGGCGACCCCGCCAGCCCCGGUCUCUUUCCCAGGCGGCGGCGGCGGCUUCUUCCGUGGGACAAUAUGUUCAAGAGAAUGGCCGAAUUUGGGCCUGACUCCGGCGGGAGAGUAAAGGGGGUUACUAUUGUUAAACCAAUAGUUUAUGGUAAUGUUGCUCGGUAUUUUGGAAAGAAAAGAGAAGAAGAUGGGCACACUCAUCAGUGGACAGUAUAUGUAAAACCAUAUAGAAAUGAGGAUAUGUCAGCAUAUGUGAAGAAAAUCCAGUUUAAAUUACAUGAAAGCUAUGGCAAUCCUUUAAGAGUUGUUACUAAGCCUCCAUAUGAAAUUACUGAAACAGGAUGGGGUGAAUUUGAAAUAAUCAUCAAAAUAUUUUUCAUUGAUCCCAAUGAAAGACCCGUAACCCUUUAUCAUUUGCUAAAGCUGUUUCAGUCGGACACCAAUGCAAUGCUGGGGAAAAAGACAGUGGUUUCAGAGUUCUAUGAUGAAAUGAUAUUUCAAGACCCAACAGCAAUGAUGCAACAAUUAUUGACAACAUCACGUCAGCUAACAUUAGGAGCCUACAAGCAUGAAACGGAAUCAGCAAGAAUGAUUGAGAACAGGAACAGCUCAGGACGUUCACAAGCAAGUCAUGAAUAGCUAGGAAUUCCCUUUAAGAGCAAAGGUUUUAUCAUCAGACAGACCGACCUGCAGGAUAUUACUAUAUGAAGAUGUAACGUUUGGAGCUGCAGGAAUCAUUUUAGGAUCAUGAGGCAAUCAAGCUAAGAAUGAAAGCCAAUAAGUUGAAGAUAGCAGAACAGAAGAAAGAACCUGGAUUCUUGGUGACACUUUUGGUCUCUAAAACUACUCUGAGAUGGCCAGCUUUGAACUCACCAAGUCAAUAAUGAAAGCUUGUAUGGCUUCAAUCAUGAUUAGUUGGCUUUUUUGUCAAUUUCCCCAAUGCCUUACCUGUGGUCAUCACAGUAGAAAAGUGAGGGAGCAAAAAUCCUAACCUGCUGCAAGGGUCACUCAGAGAUAGCCUCAUUUCCAUACUCAGGAGACAGGAUGCAUAUUCUUGGUUAAUCUUCUAUGAGUCUCAUCAGUCUUUAUCCUUCCCUUCCACAUGUCUCAGCUCCAUCAGAUGAAGCUUUUUUAUUCAUCUACAUUCUCAUCGUCGUUGCUUUCCUUGUUCUCUCCCAGGCAGAAUUCAUUUUUCUCAUUUAAAAUCUGACAUGCUUUGGCUUUGCGUCCCCAUCCAAAUUUCAUCUUGAAUUGUAAUCCCCAGGUGUUGAGGGAGAGACCUGGUGGGAGGUGAUUGGGUCAUGGGAGCAGAUUUCCCCCAUGCUGUUCUCAUGAUAGUGAGUGAGUUCUCAUGAGAUCUGAUGGUUUUAUAAGGGACUAUUUCCCCUUCACUCUCCCUCACUUCCCUCCUUCCACCUUGUGAAGAAGUGCCUGCUGCCUCUUCACCUUCUGCCAUGAUUGUAAGUUUCCUGAGGCCUCCCAAAGCCAUGCAGAACUCCGAGUUAAUUAAACCUCUUUCCUUUAUAAAUUA